CGCGGGGUAGAGCAGCCCGGUAGCUCGCAAGGCUCAUAACCUUGAGGUCGCUGGUUCAAAUCCAGCCCCCGCAACCA
Molecule: transfer RNA, 77 nt
Filed under: Elusimicrobiota bacterium
Lineage: Bacteria; Pseudomonadati; Elusimicrobiota
Also listed under: 1 other name
Description: tRNA-Met
Rfam family: tRNA
About the family: Transfer RNA (tRNA) molecules are approximately 80 nucleotides in length. Their secondary structure includes four short double-helical elements and three loops (D, anti-codon, and T loops).
Source: RNAcentral